Molecule: ribosomal RNA, 492 nt
Filed under: uncultured bacterium
Lineage: Bacteria
Description: partial 16S ribosomal RNA
Rfam family: Bacterial small subunit ribosomal RNA
Source: RNAcentral
AGUGAACGCUGGCGGUAGGCCUAACACAUGCAAGUCGAACGGCAGCACAGUAAGAGCUUGCUCUUACGGGUGGCGAGUGGCGGACGGGUGAGGAAUACAUCGGAAUCUACUUUUUCGGGGGGGAUAACGUAGGGAAACUUACGCUAAUACCGCAUACGACCUACGGGUGGAAGCAGGGGAUCUUCGGACCUUGCGCGAGUGAAUGAGCCGAUGUCGGAUUAGCUGGGUGGCGGGGUAAAGGCCCACCAAGGCGACGAUCCGUAGCUGGUGUGAGAGGAUGGUCAGCCACCCUGGAACUGAGACACGGUCCAGACUCCUACGGGAGGCAGCAGUGGGGAAUAUUGGACAAUGGGCGCAAGCCUGAUCCAGCCAUACCGCGUGGGUGAAGAAGGCCUUCGGGUUGUAAAGCCCUUUUGUUGGGAAAGAAAAGCAGCAGGUUAAUACCCCGCUGUUCUGACGGUACCCAAAGAAUAAGCACCGGCUAACUUCGUG